Molecule: ribosomal RNA, 352 nt
Filed under: Morphna maculata
Lineage: Eukaryota; Metazoa; Arthropoda; Insecta; Blattodea; Blaberidae
Description: partial 12S ribosomal RNA
Source: RNAcentral
UUUUGGAUAUAAAAUUAAGGAAUCUAAAGUAGUAAUAGUUAUGGUCUUGAAACUUAAAGAAUUUGGCGGUAUUUUAGUCUAUUUAGAGGAAUCUGUUCCAUUAUCGAUAAUCCACGUUGGACCUUACUUAAUUAAAAUUAUUUGUAUACCGCCGUAUAUUGAAAAUCUUUUUAGAGGAAUUUUCUUAGUAUUCAAAUUUAUUAUAUUUCAGGUCAAGGUGCAGUUUAUAAUUAAGUGGAGAUGGAUUACAAUAUUUUUAUAGACGGAGUAUGUUAUUGUAAUAUAAUUAUGAAGGUGGAUUUAAUAGUAAUUUUAAUAAGAAUAUUAAGGUGAUUUGAGCUCUAAAAUGUGU